Molecule: unclassified non-coding RNA, 252 nt
Filed under: Lophiostoma sp.
Lineage: Eukaryota; Fungi; Ascomycota; Dothideomycetes; Pleosporales; Lophiostomataceae
Description: partial contains 5.8S ribosomal RNA, internal transcribed spacer 2, and large subunit ribosomal RNA
Source: RNAcentral
CGCACAUUGCGCCCCUUGGUACUCCUUGGGGCAUGCCUGUUCGAGCGUCAUCUAACGCCUCAAGUCCAGCUUGACGUUGGGCGCUUGUCCCGCUCUCCCAGCGCGUGGACUCGCCUUAAAUCUAUUGGCAGCUUGCGGUAGGGGCUCCGAGCGCAGCACAGUCGCGCCUCAUGCCCCGGUCGCUGGCGUCCAGCAAGCCUCGACAUCCAAAAAUUUGACCUCGGAUCAGGUAGGGAUACCCGCUGAACUUAA